RNAcentral lists this ribosomal RNA (395 nucleotides) under uncultured bacterium. Its description in RNAcentral is "bacterial SSU rRNA". It matches the Rfam family "Bacterial small subunit ribosomal RNA", at positions 8 to 431 of the family's 1533-position model. The record is from RNAcentral.
AGAGUUUGAUCCUGGCUCAGAACGAACGCUGGCGGCAGGCCUAACACAUGCAAGUCGAGCGAGACCUUCGGGUCUAGCGGCGGACGGGUGAGUAACGCGUGGGAAUAUGCCCUUCUCUACGGAAUAGCCCUGGGAAACUGGGAGUAAUACCGUAUACGCCCUAAGGGGGAAAGAUUUAUCGGAGAAGGAUUAGCCCGCGUUGGAUUAGGUAGUUGGUGGGGUAAUGGCCUACCAAGCCUACGAUCCAUAGCUGGUUUGAGAGGAUGAUCAGCCACACUGGGACUGAGACACGGCCCAGACUCCUACGGGAGGCAGCAGUGGGGAAUCUUAGACAAUGGGGGCAACCCUGAUCUAGCCAUGCCGCGUGAGUGAUGAAGGCCUUAGGGUUGUAAAGC